AGUGACAAAUCCCUUUCUCUCUCCCACCCUACCCGAUCCAUACUUGCCUUUCCCCCUCUCUCUCGCAUGCCCUCUGCUAGGCCCAAACAGCUGCCCUCCGAUGGUCGCCGCCGUGCAGACACCGGAUCAGGAGUGGCAGACACCGCCGAAACUCCAGCCUCGCGAGCCCUUCGUUGCCGUUCUCCGCAGCGAGCAGAGGCCUCCAGGCUCGUACUUUUGGACAAGUAAAGGAUCAUUGGGGCAUUGAACAAUCUGAGGUAUGCCCCUCAAUCUCUCGCAGCUAGUGGAGCGGUGGCCUCGCAGGGGUCGCGACGGUGGUCUCGGUCAUUGAUGGUCUCGACAGAGGUGAGAUGCGUGGGUCUCAUGGCUGGUCUUGACAGAGAAAUGCCCCACUAAUUUCUAAAAGGAAAAGGAUUUUGGAUUGAACAAAGUUGUGCUUCACCAAUUAGAAAAGAGGGUUUAAAUUAAUUAAGAAGGCCAGAUUGACUUGUAGAGAAGAUGGAAAUCAGCAGAAGGUUGGGCAGCCAAAUCCAUUUAGAAGCAGGGAUGAUUUUAAAAAAGAAAUUCAUGGCAACCAAUCCUUACUUUGGAAAGUCUAUUGGUGGUGAGGGUGAGUACAAGGACAAGAAGAAGAAAAAUAUGUUAUUUGACAAUGAAUUUAGUGUUUUAUUUUAUUUAUAAUUUUUAUUAGAGUAAAUGAUUCUUUUUCGAGUAGUUAAUUAUUUACUUUGUAAAUCUAGUUAUAUAUUUUUUAAGGGCAAGACGAUUAUGUUUAUAAACAAGACUAUAUGAUUUUUGAGUCAAGUAGUAGUGUUAUAUUUGUUCCAAAAUUUGUUUUAUUAGAUUUGUAAAUACUUUGUAUAAGUUUUGUUAUUUUAAUCUAUAAUUUUUUAGAUUUGUAUAUAAAUAUUUUAUUUAAAUCAUAAUUUUUAAUUUAAAAUAAAAAUAAAUAAACUUUUUUAAAAUUAAAUUUUUUUGCAAGCAACGGCGACACCUAAUAAUUGUCAGCGUUGCCAGCAACAGCUGAUGAGUCUAGUUUUUAUGAUGUCUUGGUGAUGUUUUUAGUAGUCUUUUAUUUUGUUUUUCCUUGUUUUAGUGCGGGUUUACGCUUUGUUUGGUUGUUUUUGUGAAUAUCAGGAAGAAUUGAGCAUGUGGAAGGAAAUGCCAAAGAAAGGGAAGAAAUAAUCGAGUUUUUCAUCAUAUUUUGAUCAAGAAUGGUUCUCAAUACCAUUUGGAAGUGUUGGUGAAAUUUUGGGAUGAAAACUUGAAGAAUUCCUUAAGAGCCACGGCAUGAUCAAAGUAGGGCCGCGGCUAGGGGGAGAAACAGAAGCAUGGUUUUUGAGGACAUCUUCGGGCCGCGGCAUGGCUAGGUAGAGCCGCGGCAUGGAUGGGCAUUCUGCCCAGAAGACAAUGAUGCGGGCCGCGGCAUGGUUUCAGAGAGCCGCGGCAUUGAAAGGAUAGUAUGCCCAGAAAUUUUGACACGGGCCGCGGCAUAGUGUAUGUAGAGCCGCGGCCCGCCUCUCUAAAAUCUAAAAAUCCUAGGUUUUAAAGGACGAAAAAGAAGAGAGAAGGACGUACGGACGAAGGGAGGAGUUCUGGUGUUGAAGGCUCAAGCUUAGAGUAUUUUUACAUGUUUUUCUUCUUGAUGUUAUCUUUAAAUUCUGUUGUGAUUAGCACUAUGACUAUGAACUAAUUUUCUGUUUAGGAUGUUCAAUUGAAUCACUUGAAUUUCUAUUAUGACCUAAUGCAAUUUUAAUUUCCUCUU
Molecule: long non-coding RNA, 1765 nt
Organism: Humulus lupulus (European hop)
Lineage: Eukaryota; Viridiplantae; Streptophyta; Magnoliopsida; Rosales; Cannabaceae
Exons: 4
Source: RefSeq, a predicted model, not a curated record